Molecule: long non-coding RNA, 283 nt
Organism: Etheostoma cragini (Arkansas darter)
Lineage: Eukaryota; Metazoa; Chordata; Actinopteri; Perciformes; Percidae
Exons: 3
Source: RefSeq, a predicted model, not a curated record
UUGCCAAAACGUUAAUGUCAAGAAAAAAUGAAUUUCUUAUUUUUUCAAAUGCUUUUUUUUUUUACUAUGAAGGACAUGUACCCAAAAGACAAGAAGUCCAUAUUCUUGGAUCCACUGGGGGAGUCCAAAAAGGACCUCAAGAUAUGUUUGGCAACAACAAGGGCAUUCAUGCAAAAAAAGGGAUGCAAUGUCUCAAGGUGGAGAUGUGAGACAGUCCAGCAUCCUAAACAGUCUGACUCUACCUCUUGUGGGGUAUUUGCCCUGAAAUUUGCAGAGCUACUUU